UACUUGGGGCAAGGGCUUAUGUUUCAUAAGCUUUUUGAUCCUUUUGGAAAAAGGUUAAAGUUACCUCGGGGAUAACUAGGUAAGAAACGAAGAGAGAUCAUAUCGGUUCGUUUAUUUGCCAUCUCGAUGUUGGCUUGGGGUAAAGGCGGAGGUGUAGGGGUUUCCGCUUUAGGUCUGUUCGACCUGUAAACCC
This 193-nucleotide ribosomal RNA is filed under the name Cainocreadium sp. YMK-2018. Its description in RNAcentral is "partial large subunit ribosomal RNA". It matches the Rfam family "Bacterial large subunit ribosomal RNA", at positions 2270 to 2596 of the family's 2925-position model. The record is from RNAcentral. Lineage: Eukaryota; Metazoa; Platyhelminthes; Trematoda; Plagiorchiida; Opecoelidae. RNAcentral also lists the same sequence under 1 other name.